AUUGAACGCUGGCGGCAGGCCUAACACAUGCAAGUCGAGCGAGCGGCGGACGGGUGAGUAAUGUAUGGGGACUGCCCGAUAGAGGGGGAUAACUACUGGAAACGGUAGCUAAUACCGCAUACUAUCGGAUAACCCAUAUGGGAUUAGCUAGUAGGUGAGGUAAUGGCUCCCCUUGGCGACGAUCCCUCGCUGGUCUGAGAGGAUGAUCAGCCACACUGGGACGGAGAAACGGCCCAGACUCCGACGGAGGCAGCAGGGGGGAAUAUUGCACCAUGGGCGCAAGCCUGAUACAGCCGUGCCGCGUGUAUGAAGAAGUCCCUAGGGUUGUAAAGUACUUUCAGUCGGGAGGCGUUACCGACAGAAGAAGCACCGGCGAACUCCGUGCCAGCAGCCGCGGUAAUUC
Molecule: ribosomal RNA, 403 nt
Filed under: uncultured bacterium
Lineage: Bacteria
Description: partial 16S ribosomal RNA
Rfam family: Bacterial small subunit ribosomal RNA
Source: RNAcentral